This 497-nucleotide ribosomal RNA is filed under the name uncultured bacterium. RNAcentral describes it as "partial 16S ribosomal RNA". It matches the Rfam family "Bacterial small subunit ribosomal RNA", at positions 28 to 507 of the family's 1533-position model. The record is from RNAcentral.
GAUGAACGCUGGCGGCGUGCCUAAUACAUGCAAGUCGAGCGAACAGACGAGGAGCUUGCUCCUCAGACGUUAGCGGCGGACGGGUGAGUAACACGUGGAUAACCUACCUAUAAGACUGGGAUAACUUCGGGAAACCGGAGCUAAUACCGGAUAAUAUAUUGAACCGCAUGGUUCAAUAGUGAAAGACGGUUUUGCUGUCACUUAUAGAUGGAUCCGCGCCGCAUUAGCUAGUUGGUAAGGUAACGGCUUACCAAGGCAACGAUGCGUAGCCGACCUGAGAGGGUGAUCGGGCACGCUGGAACUGAGAGACGGUCCAGACUCCUACGGGAGGCAGCAGUAGGGAAUCUUCCGCAAUGGGCGAAAGCCUGACGGAGCAACGACGCGUGAGGGAUGAAGGUCUUCGGAUCGUAAAACGCUGUUAUUAGGGAAGAACAAAUGUGUAAGUAACUAUGCACGUCUUGACGGUACCUAAUCAGAAAGCCACGGCUAACUACGUG